CCUACGGGAGGCAGCAGUGAGGAAUAUUGGUCAAUGGGCUUACGCCUGAACCAGCCAAGUCGCGUGAGGGAAGACUGCCCUAUGGGUUGUAAACCUCUUUUGUCAGGGAGCAACGCCGGCUACGUGUAGCCGGACUGAGAGUACCGGAAGAAAAAGCAUCGGCUAACUCCGUGCCAGCAGCCGCGGUAAUACGGAGGAUGCGAGCGUUAUCCGGAUUUAUUGGGUUUAAAGGGUGCGUAGGCGGAAUGCCAAGUCAGCGGGAAAAUCGCGGGGCUCAACCUCGCUCCGCCGUUGAAACUGGCGUUCUUGAGUGGGCGAGAAGUAUGCGGAAUGCGUGGUGUAGCGGUGAAAUGCAUAGAUAUCACGCAGAACUCCGAUUGCGAAGGCAGCAUACCGGCGCCCAACUGACGCUGAAGCACGAAAGCGUGGGUAUCGAACAGGAUUAGAUACCCGAGUAGUC
This 460-nucleotide ribosomal RNA is filed under the name uncultured bacterium. RNAcentral's name for it is "partial 16S ribosomal RNA". It matches the Rfam family "Bacterial small subunit ribosomal RNA", at positions 338 to 795 of the family's 1533-position model. The record is from RNAcentral.